Salmo salar (Atlantic salmon) is the source of this 55-nucleotide non-coding RNA. The record is from Rfam. Lineage: Eukaryota; Metazoa; Chordata; Actinopteri; Salmoniformes; Salmonidae.
UGAAUGCACUAACUGUAAGUCGCUUUGGAUAAGAGCGUCUGCUAAAUGACUAAAA